GUCAGACCCGCCGCCAGCCGGAGGGAUGGAUCCGCAGAAGCACAGCGUUGGGUGUUUGUGCGGUGCAAUGUGAGGAUGCCCCAAGUGAUCAAAAUCUUCCAUACCUUUCUCUUCUGCUCCUGUGAGUACGUUGAGGAAUGAAAACCAGUGAGGCCGUGAUGGGGGUUGGCUUGGACAUGGUAUAUAAUUUUUUAAAAUGUUUAAAACUCUAUCGUCAACUUUAUCUUUUAAAAUUACUACCAGUAAGAAAUUACGUUGACAGGAGAGGGAGAAGAUGACAGAAUAGGAGGAUGCUGAGCUUACCUUGUCACCUGGACACCCUGAGGCAACAGUUACAUUCUCUGCAACAACUCUGAAAACAACCUGAAGACUGGCACAACAGAUCUUCCAUAGAGAAAAGAGCACAUUAAAAAGGGUAGGAGGAGUGGAGAUGCCAUUGGGAUCCAAACUCUCAGUACAAUGAACCAUAAACAGGAGGGACACCACAAGCAUGGAAGAGAAUCCACAUUAAGUACCCCUGGCUGUGGGGAUCCUCACUGGGAAAACACUGGCUUUGAAAAUCAGUGGGCCUUAAUUUUGGGAACUUUGGAAAUCAGCAGGACUUAACUCCAGGAGAGCUGGAGGUGAUAUGAAACUGAGACUGCACCCUUCAAGAGGCAGCAUCAUAAAUAACUUAGUGGGAGAUACAACAUAGAGCAGCAGUUUGAAAAAUAUGUGGCAUAUGUGUGAAGGAGAUUUAUCGACUAAUCUUAAGGCAUGUGCUGGAAGGGUGGGGGGUCUGCAUAUUUCUCUGGGAACAAAAGUGCUAGUGGGUGUCAUUUAUCUUGCAUCACCCCCAGCUUAGUCAGUUGCUUGCAGGAGCCAAUUCUAACACCCUCCAUCUAAGUUUUUGGCACUGCGUGAUCCACUCUGGCAUUCCCCUGCAGAACUGUCCCAACCCAAGCUAGCCACUGGGGCAGGCAUCGCUCCAAAGCAAUUCCUACCCCAGCUAGUCAUCCUGCCAAAGCAGGUAGCCCCAACUAAAAUCAGCAUCACUCCAAAGCAAGUCCUGUACUGAGGAGGUGAUGGGAUAACACCACACGGCAUGACUUCAGUUCCUGCAGCAGAGCCUUAGCAGGCUGUGUAAGGACAAAGUCCUACCCUGUGGGGUACAUGCAGCUGUCACAGAGACUAAGUGCAAACAGCUAGGCUGAAUGCCAGCCCACCCACCAGUGAGCUCAUGGUGGCUGCCUCCAGGCCUUACACUAUAACAAGGAGCAAACCAUGCCAAUGUGCCCAUAGAAUAUGAGGUGGGUUAGAGCAGCCAGCUGGGCUGAAGGCCAGACCCACCCACCACCAUGCCCAUGGCAACUGUGUCUAAGCCACAACAGUAGUGGGCACAGAGCCCACAUAGAGAACACCUUUGGAUGUCUGGUCCUAGUGACCCAGGGGAUUGCUCUACAAGACACCACAGGACCCCUUUGUCAACAGACCACUACUUUGAAGACCAGGAGACUUUGAUAACCUACCUAAUACAAAGAGAAAAACAGAGAGAAGUAGACAAAAUGAGGAGACAGAAAAUAGGUCCCAAAUGAAAGAACAAGGCAAAAAUCAGAGAAAAAGAGCUAAGCAUAACAGAUAUAAAAAAAAUAUACCUGAUAAACAGUUUGAAGUAACCAUUGUAAAAAUACUCACUGGACUAAAGAAAAGAGUAGAUACACUCAGAAUUUCAAAAAAGAGAUAGAUAAUAUAAAAAGAAACGAGUCAGAGGUAAAGAAUACAGUAAGUAGAAUGUAAAAUACAUCAAGAGAAUAAAAAAAAUCAGAUUAGAGGAUGAAAAAUAACAGAUUAGUGGUCUGGAAGAUAAGAUAAUGGAAAGCAACCAAGCUGAACACCAAAAACAAAAAAUAAUUAAAAAAGUGAGAAUGGGUUAAGGAACCACUGUGACAUCAUCAAGUAUAACAUUCACAUUAUAGGGACCCUUGAAGGAGAAAAGAGAAAGAAGGGAGCAGAAAAUUAUUUGAAGAAAUAAUAGCAGGAAACUUCCCUAAUCUUUAGAAGAAAUAAACAUCCAGGUCUAGGAAGCAGAGGGCUCCCGACAAUAUAAAUUCAAGGAGGUCCACACACCAAAUCAUAUAAUAAUGAAAAUCAUAAAAAUUAAAGACAGAAUCUUAAAAGCUGUAAGAGAAAGGGAAACAGUUAUAUAUAAGAGAAAUUCCAUAAGGCUACCAGGUAAUGUUUCAGCAGAAACUUUGUGGACCAGAAGGAAGUGGCAUGAUAUAUUGAAACUGCUGAAAGGAAAAACAAAAAACAACCACCCACAACCAAGAAUACUCAACCUAGCAAGAUUAUCAUUCAGAAUUGAAGGAGAGAUAAAUAGUUUCCCAGACAAAAGUUAAAGGAGUUUAUCAGUAUUAAGCCAGUUUACAAGAAAUGUUAAAGGGAAUUAAGUGGAAAGUAAAGGCGACAACUAGAAUUAAAUUAUGAAAGGAGAAAAUUUCACUGGUAAAAACAAACAUAAAGUUAAAGUAGAUUAAUCACUUAUAGAGCCAGUAUGAAGGUCAAGUCACAAAAGUAGCCAAAGCAAUUAUAUCUACCAAAGUUAGUCAAGGGAUACACAUAAUAAAAAGAUGCAAAAUAUGACAUCAUAUACCCAAAACAUGGAAAGGGGUAAAAAUAUAGACUCUUAGAUUGUAUGUGCACUUAAGAGAUCAUCAACUUAAUAUAGACCACUGUACACAUAAGAUGUUAUAUAUGAACCCAGUGGUAAUCACAAACAAAAACCUGCAAUUGAUAUUCAAAAAAUAAAGAGAAAGUAAUGCAAGCAUUUCACUAUGUAAAGACAUUCAACCACAAGGGAAGAGAGCAAGAGAAGAACAAAGAAACCAAGAAGAGCUACAAAAACAACCAGAAAACAUGAAAGAAAAAAGAAAAAAGCAACAAAUAAAUAUGGAUCAGUGAUUAUAUUAAACGUAAAUGGACUAAAUGCUCUAAUCAAAAGAUAAGGGUGACUGGAUAGAUGAAAAAACAAGACCCAUCUAUAUGCUUCCUGUAAGAGAUUCACUUUAACUUAAAGCACCUACAGACUGAAAUUGAAGGGAUGAAAAAAAAAUUACAUAUAAAUAAAUGUGGGGGAAAAAAGCCAGAGUAGUUAUCCUUAUAUCAGAAAAAAAUACACUUUAAAACAAAAGCACCAAAAGACAAAGGCAUUAUGUGAGGAUAAAGGGAGCAAUAAACAAUAGUGCAAUAGGGAGCAAUCCAACAAGAGAAUGUAAUAAUUAUAAACUUCUGUGCACUCAACAGUGGAGCACCUAAAUACAUAAAGCAAAUAUUAAUAGAUGUAAAGGGAGAUAUUGACAGUGGUACAAUAAUAGGAGACUUUAACAUCCCAUGUACAUCAACAAAUAGAUCAUUUUGACAGAAAAUCAACAAAGAAACAGACUUUGAGUGGCACAUUAGACCUGAUGGACCUAACCAAUAAAUACAGAAUAUUCCAUCUCCCCCCAAAUCAGAAUAUACAUUCUUUUUCAGUGUACAUGGACUAUUUUCCAGGAUAGAUCAUGGUAGGCCACAAGUCUCAAUAACUUUAAGAAGACUGAAAUCGUAUCAAGUAUGGUUUAUGACCACAAUGAUGUAAGACUAAAAAUCAAUUACAAGGAAAAAAAAAACAAAAUAGAAAACACAAAC
Neofelis nebulosa (Clouded leopard) is the source of this 3666-nucleotide long non-coding RNA. RefSeq lists it as uncharacterized. Lineage: Eukaryota; Metazoa; Chordata; Mammalia; Carnivora; Felidae. The transcript has 2 exons. The record is from RefSeq and is a predicted model, not a curated record.